GUGAAUCAUCAAAUUUUUGAACGCAAAUUGCCCUUCCUUGCAUCCCGGGAAGUAUGCCUGUUUGAGGGUCAGUAUUAAUAAAAAAUCGGUUUGGUUGCAAAUUGUGACGUUUCCGGAGUUUUGGCUAUCUUAACUUUUUUGGUUAAGGGGCUUAAAACUGACCUUUUUUGCGCAUUUUUAGCCGUACAUAAAUUUUUUUUUUUUCGUCUAUUCUUAAUGCCAAAACCUUAUUAGAUGCGAUCACAUCGUGUGGUUUCGUGUCCAUAAAAUUCUCAUGAUUUUACCUCAAAUCAGGUAGGAG
RNAcentral lists this unclassified non-coding RNA (301 nucleotides) under Glomeraceae sp. RNAcentral describes it as "partial contains 5.8S ribosomal RNA and internal transcribed spacer 2". The stretch from base 1 to 71 matches the Rfam family "5.8S ribosomal RNA", at positions 84 to 154 of the family's 154-position model. The record is from RNAcentral. Lineage: Eukaryota; Fungi; Glomeromycota; Glomeromycetes; Glomerales; Glomeraceae.